This 14255-nucleotide long non-coding RNA is filed under the name Homo sapiens (human). RNAcentral's name for it is "HSALNT0195278". Lineage: Eukaryota; Metazoa; Chordata; Mammalia; Primates; Hominidae. The record is from RNAcentral.
GAGGAGAAUUGCUUGAACCCAGGAGGCGGAGGUUGCAGUGAACUGAGAUCACACCACUGCACUCUAGCCUGGGUGAGAGACAGGGACACUGUAUCAACAACAACAACAAAAAACAUUUUUUUUCUCUAAUGGAGUCAGACCAUUUAAACCAUCUGUUGUGCUAAUGACAAUCUAUCAUUCUAAGAUUAGUUAAUCCUUGUACUAUAUUCUCUAUGUAAUGAGAACAUUUCUCUUUCCUAUUUUUAUAUUUAUUUAUUUCUUCGAGAUAUAGUCUCACUUUGUCACCCAGCCUGGAGUGCAGUAGCAUGAUCGUGGCUCAUUGAAACUUCAAAAUCCUGGGCUCAAGCGAUCCUCUUGUCUCAGUCUCCUGAGUACCUGGGACAAUAGGUAUGAGCCACCCCACCCCUAUUUUACGCUUUAAAAAAAAAAAAAAAAACCUUAUAACUCUUGUUUUCACCAAAAGUGUUGAUAGAAAAGAAGUGACACAAUAUUAUAUCAGAAAAUUUCAACACAAUCUCUUUUUUCUAUCUUAUGGCUAUUAAAUUACCUGUUCUUUGUGUUUGUUUGGUUUUAUUGCAUAAAUAUUAUUAACACUAAGCAUUCAGAAAAAGCAACACAUUUUCUUUCUGCCAAUUUUAAUGAAGGAUUUUGAUGGCUGGAGAAAUAUCAAACAGGUGAAGAAGCUUAUGAACACCAUCAGAAAGUACUGAGCUGAUCAAACCCAAGACGUUUACAGUGGUUGCUAUGGACCCCUUUAGCAGUUGGGAAAGCUCCAACCCCAUUUCAGGAUAAUGUUUUUCAUGACGUAAAAUGCAUAGGAAGGAAACCAGUUCUAUUAAAAAAAAAGUACAUAGAAAUACGUGGCCGGGCGUGGUGGCUCAUGCCUGUUAUCCCAGCACUUUGGGAAGCCGAGGCAGGUGAACCAUUUGAGGUCAGGAGUUUGAGACCAGCCUGGCCAACAUGGUGAAACCCCAUUUCUACUAAAAAUACAAAAAAAAAAAAAAAUUAGCCCCGGGCAGUAGUGGCGUGUGCCUGUAACCCCAGCUGCUUGGGAGACUGAGGCAGGAUCGCUUGAGGUUCGCUUGAGGCAGAGGUUACAGUUAGCGGAGAUCGCGCCGCUGCACUCCAGUCUGGGCGACAGAGUGAGACCCUCUCUUAAAAAAAAAAAAAAAAAAGCCCAAAUAGAAAUAUGUGAAGUAAGAGGAAGAAAGUGAAUGUUUAUGAGGUUCCACUAGGCACCAGAACCACGUUAUGAUUUAAUCUUCACAAUAUCCUAUUGUAGAAGGAAGCGUUACUAUCAUUAUUAUUGUCAUCCUCUUUCUGUAUAUGAGGAAACUAAAAAUCAGAUAGGUGAUGUGACUUAUUGAAAGUCACACACUGAUAGGGUUUGGCUGUGUGUCCCUGCCCAAAUCUCUUCUUGAAUUGUAGUUCCUGCAAUUCCCACGUGUUGUGGGAGGGAUCUGGUGGGAGGUAAUUGAAUCCUGUGGGCAGUUUCCCCCUUACUGUUCUCGUGGUUGUGAAUAAAUCUCACGAGAUCUGAAGGUUUUAUAAGGGGUUUCCCCUUUCACUUGUCUCUUAUUCUCUUUUUGCCCGCUGCCAUGUAAGAUGCCCUUUUGCUCUUCCUUCAUCUUCCACCGUGAUUGUGAGGCCUCCGCAGCCAUGUGGAACUGUUAGUCCAUUAAACCUCUUUCCCUUAUAAAUUACCCAGUCUCAGGUGUGUCUUUAUUAGCAGCUUGAGAACAGACUAAUACACACACCUAGUAGGUGAUGGAUGGGAUUCAAGUCUGGGGCUACCUGACUCUAAAGGCCAGGAAAAAGAGAGAGAAAUUAAAGAAGAAUUGGUGAAAAUAGUGGCAGAUUAAUAAUGAUGAUAAUGAUGGUGGUGGUGGUGAGGAUGAUGAUAAUGAUGGCAGCUAAAGCUUAUAUAGGCACUGUGUUAAGAGCUUUCCAUGUUAACUCCUUUAAUUCUCUCAACAACACUGAGGCAGAUAAUCUUAUCUCCAUUUUACAGAUAAAGAAAUUGAAGCACAGAGAGGUUAAGUAACUUUCCUAAGACCACACAGCUCAUCAGUGACAAUUCAAAGUCAAGCAUGACUAUGCUCUACUGCCUCUUGGACUAACAUUAACAGUGGGCCAGACACUGUGGCUCACGCCUGUAAUCCCAGCACUUUGGGAGACCAAGGCAAGUGGAUCACAUGAGGUCAGGAGUUCGAGACCAGCAUGGCCAAUAUGGUGAAACCCCGUCUUUACUAAAAAUACAAAAAUUAUCCAGGCAUUGUGGCACACGUCUGUAAUCCCAGCUACUCUGGAGGCUGGGGCAGAAGAAUCGCUUGAACCCGGGAGACAGAGGUUGCAGUGAACCAAGAUCAUGCCACUGCACUCUAGCCUGGGCCACAGAGCAAGACUCUGUCUCAAAAAAAAAAAAAAAAUUAACAAUGACCUAAAAUUAACUUAUUAUUUACUUGUUUACUUAAGUAUUGUCUGCCUUCUCCACUAGAAUAAAAUUCCACUCUAGAAAGUUCUUUGUCUUCUUGAGGGCUAUAUUCCAGGAGCCCAUUGCAUUGCCAUGCCUCACACCUGUAAUCCCAGUACUUUGGGAGGCCGAGGUAGGUGGAUCACUUGAGAUCAGGAGUUCAGGACCAGCCUGGUCAACAUGGCGAAACUCUGUCUCUAUUAAAAAUACAAAAAUUAUCUGCGUGUGGUAGCGUGCAUCCAUAGUCCCAACUACUUGGGAGGCUGGGGCAAAAGAAUUGCUUGAACCUGGGAGACAGAGGUGUCAGUGAGCCCAGAUCAUGUCAUUGCACUCCAGCCUGGGUGACAGAGCAAGACUCUAUCUCAACAAAAGCAAAAAAAAAAACCAAAAAGCUUUAUUCAAAUAUAAUAUUACUAGACCAAUGGCAAUAUUUUCCCAAAAAGGCAGAUGAGGUAAUUCAAAUUUACAAGUCAGAGACUUAGAAUUGUAUACACCCGUUUCCUGUAACGUGUGAAUUUUUCAAUUAAAUUAAGGUAAAAUGAAAAUGUUGUUUCUUUUGUUUUCUUGUUCCAGCUGUUACAAUGUGAAUAUUUUGAAGGAAUCAAUAAAGGAAUAAGAGCUGAGAAAAGGAUUAGAGAGACAACACGGCCCAGGGAGCAGCACAGGAUGCACCAAGGAACUUUUGCCGGCAGAGCUUCGGCUGAAUCCUUGGAUGCAGAACUCAAUGAUAUGGAGACUAAUUGUACGUUGUUGGUGAAAUGUAAAAUGGUGCAGCUGCUAUGGGAGAGACUGAACGUCCCUCUGAUGGUUAAAAACAGAGUAAACACAUGACCCAGGAAUUCCACUCUUAGGUAUUUACCUAAGUGACAUGAAACACAAGUCCACACCAAAACUUGGACUAGAAUGUUCAUAGCAGCAUUAUUCAUAACGGCCAAAACGUAGCAACAACCCAAAUGCCUAUCAACUGACUAAUGGAUAUAUAAUAUGUGCUAUAGCCAUACAAUGGAAUAUCAUUUGGCAAUAAAUAGAGAUUAAGUACUGAUAUAUACUACAGUAUUUAUGAACCUUGAAAACAUUAUGCUAAGUGAAAGAAGCCAGGAGGACCCAGUGUAAGAUUUCACUUAUAAGAAAUGUCCAGAAUAGGCAAAGCUAUAGAAAGAGAAAGAAGAUUAAUGGUGCGUGGAGCCGGGCGAAGCAGUGGGGAUUUAGGAAUGAGGGCUAUGAGGGGUAGGAUUUCUUUUAGGGGUUGUGGAAAUGUUCUAAAAUUGAUCAUAUUGAUGGAUGCACAAUACUGUGAAUACACCAAAAGCAAUUGAAUUGCACACUUCAAAUGGAUGAAUUGUACAGCAUACGAAGUAUAUCUCAAUAUAACUGUUUUUUUAAAAAAGAUGCAUAGUAUAUUGCAGGAUCACUCAAAAACCACCUGGUGUGUACAGGGAGGGGCCCACGAGCCAGCCAGGCCCCUCAGCAUCUUCCCAGGGGAACUUGGCUCUGUCUGCAUACAUGAUGUAAAAGGUGACCAGGGAGCAGCAAAGCCAAGAGCUGAGGAGUAGAAUUCUUGCAGCUGCAGCUGCUCAGAAAUCCCCAUUCAGGGCUUUACUGGCAAGGUACACCUUGGUUAAAAUCUCAUCAUGUCAUUUGUAUGGUCAGAAUGAUGUUGAGACUGGUUAAUAUUUUGACUAAAAAAAUAACAAUGGUGAGAAAAUGAGAAAAGAGAAGGUGGGGUAUAAAGGGAGCUAAAUCCGCAUCUAUCCCAACCAGAAAUCAAUCAAUAACAGUUAAUGUUAGUAAGUUGAGCAAUAGGAGUGGAAGCAUCUCAUUUAGACAUGUAGAAGUAGCUGCCUAGUGGAUCAGCUAGAGGUAUUUAAUGUGGCUGCCUCUGAGAAGGGGCCAUAUGGAGACAGAUAGGGGAGGAGAGGGCUAUAUUUUACUUUGAGAUUUUUAAGUGCUAUUUUUUUUUAAGUAUUAAAUUGAACCAUAUGAAAUUGCCAUUUUCAUAGGUGCAAAAUGGUUGAAGAUAGGCAAUUCCAUAUGAUUCAAACUUAUAUCUGAAUGCAUUUAUUUUGGUUGCAUAUUUUGAAAAAUAAUAAAGCCUAUUGGAUAAAAGAUAUCUGUAUUAUUCUGUUCCCAUGCUGCCAAUAAAGACAUACCAGAGACCAGGUAAUUUAAAAAAGAAAGAGGUUUAAUUGACUCACAAUUCAUCAUGACUGGGGAGGCCGCAGGAAACUUACAAUUAUGGUGGAAGAGGAAGCCAACAGUACCAAGGUGCUGGAGGUGGAGGCUGUCAGCCACCUGCACUCCACGCAGCUGCGUGGCUAGCUCCUUCUUGAAGGUUCAUCCGAGCUGUGCAUCUCCACAUUUGACCAUAUUUGUUGGGUAGUUACCUGCUCCAAGCAGUUUCCAUCUCCUCACUCAUUAAUUUUCAAGAUGAUUCUGCAAGGUAAGAUAGGAGACAGAGGCAUGGUGAAAUCCAUGAGUAAAUUAUCUUGCCCAAGACGAGACCGUGAGUAGCAGACUCCAUUCAGGGCCAGACAGGAGAUCUGACUCCCAUGUCCGAGCUCUGAAUUUCCACACUACCCCAUGUUACAGUGGAUGUAUUGUUUUAGGCAUGGAAGACAGUCUGGAGACACAUCCACCAGACUCUCACGGUGGCCUAUCUCAGGGUGAAGGUGAAGAUUUGAGAGAUACCUUUCACGUGGCAGAUUUUGAUCUAAUUUAUAUCUUAUUGUACAACAAGAAUUGUUAGCUUUGUAAUAAUAAACAAUAUAAAGUGACUGUGGAAAAAACAGAAAGGUUCCAAGCUUGACAAUCUGCCUGUUGUGGGCUACAGGUGCUGUCAGGUAUAAUGGGGACAGAAGAGAAGGUACCUGAGUCCUUUGUUAUUGUUGGGAGUCCUGUGGGUGCCUGGGGACCAAGACUGGUGGAAGGUGAGCAGGUGAGGCUGUUACUGUCCACUUUCUACUCCAUUUCCACCGCUAAGUGCUUUGAGCAAGGUUGGUGUUGUGUCCCUCCUCAACGUGGUGUUUUUUUGUUUAGUUUUGUUUUUUGUUUUUUGAGACAAAGUCUCACUGUGUCACCCAAGCUGAAGUGAAGUGGCACAAUCAUAUCUUACUGCAGCCUCCAAUUCCUGGGCUCAAGUGAUUCUCCCGCCUCAGCCUCCCAAGUAGCUAGGACUACAGGCAUGCACUGUCACGCCCGGCUAAUUGAAAAAAAAGAAAUUUAGAGAUGGGAUCUUGCUAUGUUGCUCAGGAUGGUCUUGAACUCCUGGCCUCAAACAAUCCUUUCCCCUCAGCUUCCUGAGGAUGUGUAAUUAUGACUCGUGUCAAUGUGUCAGCAACCCCCAAAUUCAUACAGUGAAGCCCUAAACCCCAGUAUCUCAGAAUGUAAAUGUAUUUGGAGACAGGGUGUUUAAAUAAGUGAGGAAGGUAAAAUGAGGUCACUGGGGUGGGCCUUAAUCCGGUAUAACUGGUGUCCUUACAAGAAGAGGAAAUCUGGGCACACACGUGUACAGAGGGCAGAUGAUGUGAAGAUGCAGGAAGAUGAGAGCCAUCUACAAGCGAAGCAGGGAGGCCGCAGAAGGAACCAACCCUGCUGGCAUCUUGAUCUUGUACUUCCAGCCUCCAGUACGGGGAGAAAAUAAAUUCCUGUUGUUCAAGCCUUUCCAUCUGUGGAUCUCUGGUACCUCAUAGGCACCCCGAGCAGACUAGAAAAGUUGGUUAGGAUCAGAAAUGAAAUGAAAAUGAAGCAGCCACCAUGGCUUGCCUGGUACCCUCUUGCCUCAUUCCAGCUCCUGGCUGUUCAAGUGCCACUCUUCAGCUUGGAAAUGGGAGAAAACCUUGGAUCAGAAAACCUGGAGCCAGACAGACCUGGAUUUAAAGCCCAGCUUUGCUGUGUGAGUGCAGGCAAGUGUCUUUACCUCUCUGAGCUUCUCAUCUCUAAAAAUGGAUGAUCAAAGUGCUUCCCUGGGUGCAUGAGAAUUACAUGACACACUGGGAAUCGGGCCCAUAACACAUGGUGGGCACACAGCAGGUGCUCAACUUGUCAGCUCCAUUUCAGUUUCUGCCCACUUCCACCAAACUAUGUGGCUCAUUACUGUGGAAUGAUUUGUGUGCCCCAAAGUUCAUAUAUUGAAGCCCCAAACUCCAGCACCUCAGAGUGUAAGUGUGUCUGGAGACAGAGCUUUUAAAGAGAUGGCUAAGUUAAAACAAGGCUGUUAGGGUGGGCCCUAAUCCAAAAUAACCAGUGUCCUUAUAGGAGGAGGAAGUUUGAACACAAAGGAGAGACACCAAGGGCAUCUAUCUGCAGAGGAAAGAUCAUAUGAAGAGACUGUGAGAAGAUGGCCGUCUGCAAGCCCAAGAGAGAGCCCUCAGAAAUAACCCUACCAACACCUUGAUCUUGGACUUUCUGCCUCCAGAACUGCUGAACAGUAAUAGUGAGAGAGAGAACUCCAGUUUUCCCAAUCUUUAAUGGCAUUCAUAGAAGAAAUGAAUAUUGUCUGGAGUGAAGUACGAGAAUGGCAUCGUGGAUUUGUAAUAAAACGUCCCAUUUUUAGACAUAUUAUUUGGAAGCGAAAUGAUGUGAAUUCAGGAUUUGCCUUCACCUACUUCUGCAAUUUCCACUUCUAGCCAAGAUAAGUAAAAGGGGUCUUAUUACUCGCCUCCACCUUAAAAAAAGGAGAACACUGAAAAAUGUAUUGAAUUAUGUUUUCUGGACAUUGGACAACAGGAAGGGCAGGAAUUUGAUCCCUGGGAGAAUGAACAAAAAGAAGGUAAGGUCUGUGAUUUUCCCGGUUUACUGCCUAGGGAGAAGUUCUAGGCAGUAGCAUAGGGAAAGAAAACAAAAACACAGGCUAAUUAAAGCUUGAUUGGCAAUAUUAGCAUCAAAUAAAGUAAAUUUUAUAACCAGUAAUGUUACCAGUGAUAAAAUAGGAUUUUUUAUAAUAACAAAAGGAAUCUCUUUUCAUCAAGAAAACAUAGCCACUCUACAUGUCAAUUAAUGUGCUUCAAGAUACAUGAAGCAGAAAUAGUUCAUGGAUUGGGAAACUCAAUAUUGUUAAGAUGCCAUUUCUCUUCAAACUCAUCUAUAGAUUGAACACAAUCCUGAAAGCACUCUAGCAGUCAUCUUUUUGUAGAAAUUGAUAAGCCACUUCUAAAAUUUGUAUUGAAAUGUAAAGGACUUGGACUAGGCAAAUCAGUUUAAUGAAAGAACAAGGGUGGAUGACAUAUACUCACUAAUUUUAAGACUUACUAUAAGGAUAUGGUAAUCAAGACAGUGUGGUAUUGUCAUAAGAAUGAGCAAAUUGAUAAUGGAAUAGAACAGAGAGUAGAAAUUGAACUAUGUCAUAAAUAUUCAAUUGCUUUUUGGAAAAAGUACCUAGAAAAUUCAAUAGGGAAAGAAUAAUCCUUCCAAUAAAUGGUGCUGGAUCAGUUUGACAACCAUAUACAAAAAAGAGAAAUAUCAGCCCAUACCUCAUAUAAUGCACACAAUUAUCUUGAGAUGAAUUGUAGACCUAAAUGUAAAAGUGAAAAUUAAAUUCAGGAAGAAAACAAAAUUUCAGGAGAAAAUAUAGAAGAAAAUCACUGUGUCCUCAGGUAUGCAAAGAUGUCUUUGCAUAGGUCACAGAAAACAUGAAUCAUAAAAGAAAAAAUAAUAAAUUGGAUUUCAACAAAAUUAAACAUUCACCAUAUAAAAUAUAAGACACUGUUAAGAAAAUCAGAACUCAAGGCACAAACUGUAAGAAAUACUGACAAAACAGAUAUGUAAGAAACAAGAUGCAUUGAGAAGAGGUUUAAAAACUUACAACUCAAUAAUAAGAAGAUAAAUAACCUGAUCUAAAAUGAGUAAAAAACUUGAAUAGUCACUUUACUAAAAAAGAUAUAUGGCCAAGUGCAGUGGCUCAUGCCUGUAGCCCCAGCACUUUGAGAGGCUGAGGUGGGUGAAUUGCUUGAGUCCAAGAGUUUGAUACCAGCUGGGCAGCAUGGCAAAACCCCGGCGGAACUCCAGCCUGGGUGAUAGAGAAGACUCUGUCUCAAAAAAUAAAAAAAUUUUUAAAAAGAAGAUAUGUGGAUGGGAAAUAGUUCAUGAAAACAUAUAUGUCGAUUGUCAUUAUGACAAUGCAAAUUAAAACUACAACGCACAGCAUACACCAUUAGAAUGAAGAGGAUGUAGAGCAACUGGAACUCUCAUCUGUUGCUGGAAGCAAUGCAAAUUGUAUGUCCACUUUAGGAAACAGGCAGUUUCUUAUUAGGUUAAGCAUACACUUACUAUACAAUCCAACAAUCCCAUCUCUCGUUUUAAUCCAAGAGAAAGAAAAACACAUUUACACCAAGAUUUAUACUUAAAUAUUCAUAGUGGUUUGAUUCAUCAUAGCCUCAAACUGGAAACAACUCAAAUGUUCAUCAACUAACUGGUCAGUGGAUAAACAAAGUGUGUCAUAAUCCUAUAAAGGAAUACUACUCAGCAAUAAAAAGGAAGGAACUGGCCAGGCGCAGUGGCUCACGCCUGUAAUUCCAGCACUUUGGAAGGCCGAGGCAGGCGGAUCACUUGAGGUCAGGAGUUUGAGACCAGCCUGGCCAACAUGGUGAAACCCCAUCUCUACUAAUAAAAAAAUUAGCCAGGCAUGGUGGCACGUGCCUGUAAUCCCAGCUACUCAGGAGGCUGAGGCACAAGAAUCACUUGAACCUGGGAGGCAGAGGUUGCAGUGAGCCAAGAUUGCACCACUGCACUCUAGCCUGGGCAAUAGAAUGAAACUGUCUCAAAAAAAAAAAAUUAAAAAAGGAAGGAACUACAAUGCAUAUAAUAACAUGAAUGAAUCUCAAAAGCACUAUACCAUGAGAAGAGCAUGCCCUGGUUAGUCCACUGUUCCAAGGAGGAUGAAAAAAAUGUGGAGGAGAGCCAUCUUAGCCAAUGCACGAACCUCCAGGGAGAAUGCACCUAAACAACCAAACCUGAGCUUCGUCUGAAUGUUAGAUCUAUGAGAAUAAAUGAUUAUCGUUUUAUGUCUCUGAGGCUUCUUCACGACAUAAAUACGCAAUUCAUUGACAUAGAAAUACCUGUAGCCACUAAGGACACACUGAAUAUUAGCAUGAUAAACAUUAAUACAUUUUCAUUAGAGUAAUAGGGAAAUUUUUUCCACUGCUAUUAGCAAUGGAAAAAGAAUGAUAAUACCCAGGUUCACAAGUGUGUGAGGAAACAGACAUUUUCAUAUACUGGUGGCAUAAACACAUGGCAUUGAGUUUUGUGAUGGUUCUUACAAAGCAUGGUGGUAACAAUAGCUGAUCAAUAAAUACAUCACCUGUCGCAAGCUGAACCACUCACAAUACUAUCAUUUUUUGGCUCUCCAGAAUUGGGCACGUCAACCAAGCUUGGCUAAUUAUUAAAACCAUGCUCUAGAAUCUUUUUCAACAAGGAACCAGAGAGAGUGACUCUUGCUGUCUCUCUAACGGUGAAGUUGUGAAGUGUGAGGAUAGAAGCAACUGGUAGACAAGUUUCCAGCUGCACGCUGAAGUCUGAUCUGAGCACAGGAAACCAAUGGGCAGGGAAAAAUGGUACCUAUCAACUUUUAAAAUUGUGAUUGCUCCUGAAAUUUAUCUGCUUCCUGCCGUUCCUACUGAUCUCAUGCAUGCAUCUUCUUUUGUGUCUAACCAACUUCAAUAAAGUCCUGGCUAAUAUUCCCUGCCCACCUGCCAAGUACAUAGAGUUCUUCCCAGGUCAGUCCCAACCAACUUCCAGGCAAUUGCCUGCUAUGAAUUUUGGGAGAGGACAAAUCCCCUACCUACAGAUUAACAGGCCUUUUGUGAUAAUCUAGUCUAAAUCUCUCAUUUUGGAGAUGAGUAAAUUAAGACCCCCAAAGUGGAAUGGCUUUCUUGAGAUAACAGAAAACAAAACAUGCAUGAAAUCUGGCUCUCCUGAAUUUAAAAUAUAACAAGGGACCAUCUGAGAUGAACAGAGCAUUUAUAUGCUACUUGGCUACCUAUAAUGCCUUUAGGCAACUCAUAAGUCAGAAGCUUGUGUUCCAAAUAAGAAACAAUAAAGAGACUUACUGCAUUGCCUCUUAGAAUGGCAAAGGUUAAGAUACGUUUUACUACCCAGUGAUAUUAAAUAUCUAAAGAAAUAAACACCUUCAAAGAUGAAUGGUGGAUAUGCAAAUUGGGACAAAUCUUUCUUUUUUUUUUUUCUUUUCUGUUUUUCUUUUUUUGAGACAGAGUUUCGCUCUUGUUGCCCAGGCUGGAGUGCAAUGAGUGAUCUUGGCUUAUUGCAACCUCCACUUUCUGGGUUCAAGUAAUUCCCCUGCCUCAGCAUCCCAAGUCACUGGGAUUACAGGCACCCGCUACCACACCUAGCUAAUUUUUGUUAUUUAUUUAUUUAGAGACACAGUCUGUCUCUGUCGCCCAGGCUGGAGUACAGUGACCUGAUCUCGGCUCAAUGCAACCUCCGCCUCCCGGGUUCAAGCGAUUCUCCUGCCUCAGCCUCCUGAGUAGCUGGGAUUACAGGCGCUGGCCACUGCACCCAGCUAAUUUUUAUAUUUGUAGUAGAGACAGGGUUUCAUCAUGUUGGUCAGGCUGGUCUCAAACCCUUGACCUCAUGAUCUGCCCACCUUGGCCUCCCAAAGUGCCGGGAUUACAGGCGUGACCCACUGCGCCUGGCCUAAUUUUGGUUAUUUUUUAGUAGAGAUGGGGUUUCGCUGCAUUGGCCAGGCUGGUCUCGAACUCCUGACCUCAGGAGAUCCACCCACCUCGGCCUCCCAAAGUGCUGGGAUUACAGUUGUGAGCCACCCCGCCCAGCCGGGACAAAUCUUUCUUGGAAAGCAAUUAGGCAAUCCAGCCGUUUAUCCUCUAGUACGUUAUCCCAAGGAGACAAUUUCACAAGUUAAGGAAGUUAUAUGCAAGAAUGAUCAUCGUUUUUGUCUGGUAAUAGGGAAAUACUAGAAACAAUGUAAAAUCCAACAGAGAGGAUCAAUAUAAUUACAUUGGUAAUAACCUGCCUUCUUUUUGAUGAAAUACUAUACAAUCAUUAAAAUUUGAAUGUAUAGGAGAAUGUGGGAAGAGAGAGAACAAAAUUCUGGAAGAAUAUUCAUGUCAAUAGAGGUCUCUUUCUUUCUCUCUCUCUCUCUCACCUCUUCUCUCUCUCUUCCUUUAUUUCUUUUUCAUUUUUAGAGAUAGGGUCUCACUGUGUCACUCGGGCUGGAGUGCAGUGGCACAAUCAUAGUUCAUUGCGGCCUUGAACUCCUAGGCUCAAGUGAUCCUCCUGACUCAGAUCUCCCUAGUAGCUGGGACAACAGGCAUGCGCCACCAUACCCAGUGAGGUUUUUCCUUUGAGAUGGACAUUCUGUUGCUAGGAUUUUUGUUUAUAUGUUUGUCUGCCUUUCUCUUUAGGUAUUUCUGUAGGGUUUGAAUUUUUUACCUCUGCCCCAAAACAGGGCUACAGCAGACUGUUCCAAUAUAAGCUGACACCUGGUCCUCUGUGUUUAUCAAGGAACAUAAUCUCUGCCGAGUCAUCAUAAAUAACCAUCAGGACAUGAGGUGAUAGUCGGCCAACUUAGCUUUCCUGAGGAUCUUGGCUCCAAGAACAGCAAAGCCCUUCCCACACUUAGGUUCACUCACCCUUACACCUUUGAGCUGGAACCUGGCUGAGAGCUGCAGAACCAGCCAGGGCCACUCUGUUCCUUAGGAAAUUCUUGUCCUUUUCUACUUAACUUCUGUUUGUUUAAUGUGUUCCCUGUGUGACCUCUAGCUCCCUGGCUAAGCCAAAGUAAAAAAUGUCUUUAGCUUUCCAGGUACCAACAUAUCUAGACUACAGCAAGGUGUUGGGUUCUGAUCCCAGAAGUUUCAAAUCAUACCUAGGUUUGAAAUGAGGUGACCAAGAGGACUGGAUACCCCAGUUUUGAAUUCUGGUCUCUUUCACCUAUGAACAAGUUUCAUCUAUCUGAGCUACAGUUUUCAGUCUUGAAAAGGAUAUACCUUUCCCAGACAUUGGGGAUACAACAAGACAUAAACAGACCUGAUCCUUCCUUUUCACCAUAGGGUCUUCCGCGCCUAAUGGAAAAGCAAACAGGGUGCGGUGGCUCAUGCCUAUAAUCCUAGCACUUUGGGAAGCCGAAGAAAAUGGAUCGCUUGAGCCCAGGAGUUUGAGACAAGCCUGGAAACAAAGUGAGAACCCAUCUCUACAAGAAAUUUAAAAAAUUAGCCAGGUAAGGUGGCAUGCACCUGUAGUCUCUGCUAUUUGGGAGGCUGAGGUGGGAGGAUCACUUGAGUCCAGGAGGUUGAGGCUACGGUGAGCCAAGGUCAUGCCACUGCACUCUAGCCUGGGCAACAGGGAGAGACCCUGUCUCAAAUAAAUAAAUAAGAAGAAAAGCAGGUGUUAAAUGAAUAACUACUUAAGCAGAAUAUUGGUGUGGAAUAAAAUCGGGAUUGGGGUGAGCAGAGAAGUCAGAGAAAUGGUAUUUCAGCCAUCAGUUGAAGGAUAGGAACCAUAGGUGCACACCAUGUUGAUCUCUUUACAUAGUUCGGCAUAAUAAUUAUGUAUCUAUAUCUAUGUCUGUAGUCUCUGCCAAUACUUCCUGACGGAGUGCCUAAAACUCUUGUAAUGUCCUGAGUGAUGGGGGGGUGUUAGGUGCAUCAUUUGUUCUAGUAUUUGAUCUUUGACCCCAGUUCUUGACACAGAGUUCCUAAUUUCUUGGAAAUUUCUGGGUGAUACGCAUAUCUUUUAUUCUAGUAUUUGGUCUUUGACCCCAGUUCCUGACAUAGAGCUCCUAAUCCCUUGGAAUUUCCUGGGUGAUGGGAGCAUCUUUUAUUCUAAUGAGGUGACUCUCCUGAAUGGGGGCUGGUCACCAGAAAGACCAAGCCGUGACUAGAAGCUUGAAACUUUCAGCCCCACCUCCCAUCCUUUGGGAAAGGAAAGGGGCUGGAGAUUGAGUUAAUAAUCCAUCAUGCAAAUGUGAUGAAGCCUUCAUAAAAGUCCCUGUACUGGGGGGUGCAGAGAGCUCCCUGGUUGGUAAACACAUCUGUGUGCUGAGAGGAUGGUAUACCCCAGCUCCCUGGGAACAGAAGCUCUUCCACUUGGGACCUUUCCAGACCUCACCCUGUGUAUCUUUUUAUCCAGCUGAUCUUCUGUACCCCUUUUCAUAUCCUUUAUUAUGAAAUAAACCAGUAAACAUAAGUAAAUAUUAUCCCGAGUUCUGCGAGUCAUCCUUGAAAAUUAUUGAACCCGAGGAGGAGGGAACCUUGAUUUAUAGCCAGUCGGUCAAAAGUACAGAUGACAACCUCCUGGAACUUCGCAAUUUGCAUCUCAGAUGUGGAAAGCUGAGAGUAAGGAGGAAUAAGUACAUUUCUUAAGAUCGCGGAGCCAGAAAAGGGACAGAUGUGAAGUUUGAAAAAUCAUCUUUAAAAUUAAUGAGUGGCGAGAUGGAUAGUGCUUAGAGCAAGUGAAUACCCAACAAAUAUGGCAACCGUGGAGAUACACGGCUUGGAUUAAACUUCAAGAAGGAGCUAGCCGCGCAGCUGCGUGGAGUGCAGGCGGCUGACGGCUUCCACCUGCAGCACCUCGGAGGUCUCCCAGAGCUUCUGAGCUGAGGACACACUCAGCCCCCAGGCAGUGAGUGAACAUGAUGGGGAUACUAGGGCCCAGCCACUUCUGCCCAAUGCGGAUCGUCUCUCAAGGGCAUUUUUGGCUCUAAAGCUCCCUGCUGCACUGGCCGGGGCCUCAUCAGGAAUGCGUUGCUGGGGUCUGAGGCUCUCGCUCCUGCUUCUGCUGCCUCUCCUAAUCUCACUCGUGGUCAGAUCUG